Molecule: ribosomal RNA, 464 nt
Filed under: Cardiochilinae sp. IKCFRG002
Lineage: Eukaryota; Metazoa; Arthropoda; Insecta; Hymenoptera; Braconidae
Description: partial large subunit ribosomal RNA
Rfam family: Archaeal large subunit ribosomal RNA (bases 2-153)
Source: RNAcentral
UCCCCUGUUUAUCAAAAACAUGUCUUAUUGAAAAUAAUUUUAAGUCAAAUCUGCUCAAUGAUAAUUUUAUUAAAUAGCUGCAGUAAAUAUGACUGUACUAAGGUAGCAUAAUAAAUAGUUUAUUAAUUAUAAACUUGUAUGAAAGAUUUAAUGUAAUAAAUACUGUUUCAAUUUAAAAAAAUAAAUUUUUUUUUUAAGUAAAAAAACUUAAAUAAAAUUAAAAGACGAGAAGACCCUAUAGAAUUUUAUAAAUUAAUUUUAAUUAAUUUAUUUUUAAUUAAAAUUAAAUUAUUUAAUUGGGGAGAUUAUAAAAUUUAAAAAACUUUUAUAUAAAUUUACAAUAAUUAUUGAAUAAAAUAUAAUUUUUAAAAAAAAUAAAAUAAAUUACCUUAGGGAUAACAGCAUAAUUUUUUUUUUAAGUUCGUAUUACUAAAAAAGAUUAUGACCUCGAUGUUGAAUUAAGA